CCUACGGGAGGCAGCAGUGAGGAAUAUUGGUCAAUGGGCGCGAGCCUGAACCAGCCAAGUAGCGUGAAGGAUGACUGCCCUACGGGUUGUAACCUUCUUUUAUAAAGGAAUAAAGUGAGGCACGUGUGCCUUUUUGUAUGUCUUUUAUGAAUAAGCAUCGGCUCACUCCGUGCCAGCAGCCGCGGUAAUACGGAGGAUCCGAGCGUUAUCCGGAUUUAUUGGGUUUAAAGGGAGCGUAGAUGGGUUGUUAAGUCAGUUGUGAAAGUUUGCGGCUCAACCGUAAAAUUGCAUUUGAUACUGGCAGCCUUGAGUGCAGUUGAGGUAGGCGGAAUUCGUGGUGUAGCGGUGAAAUGCUUAGAUAUCACGAAGAACUCCGAUUGCGAAGGCAGCCUGCUAAACUGCCACUGACAUUGAUGCGCGAAAGUGUGGGUAUCAAACAGGAUUAGAUACCCGUGUAGUC
Molecule: ribosomal RNA, 460 nt
Filed under: uncultured bacterium
Lineage: Bacteria
Description: partial 16S ribosomal RNA
Rfam family: Bacterial small subunit ribosomal RNA
Source: RNAcentral